This 477-nucleotide ribosomal RNA is filed under the name uncultured bacterium. RNAcentral describes it as "partial 16S ribosomal RNA". It matches the Rfam family "Bacterial small subunit ribosomal RNA", at positions 28 to 523 of the family's 1533-position model. The record is from RNAcentral.
GACGAACGCUGGCGGCGUGCUUAACACAUGCAAGUCGAACGGAGAUAAUAGUAAUAUUAUCUUAGUGGCGGACGGGUGAGUAACGCGUGGGCAACUUGCCUCAGACUGGGGGAUAACACAGGGACACUUGUGCUACUACCGCAUAACCACAUCGUAGGACAUCCUAUGAUGAUCAAAGGAGUAAUCCGGUUUGAGAUGGGCCCGCGUCCGAUUAGCUAGUUGGCGGUGUAAUGGACCACCAAGGCGACGAUCGGUAGCCGAACUGAGAGGUUGAUCGGCCACAUUGGGACUGAGACACGGCCCAGACUCCUACGGGAGGCAGCAGUGGGGAAUAUUGCACAAUGGGGGAAACCCUGAUGCAGCAACGCCGCGUGAAGGAUGAAGGUUUUCGGAUUGUAAACUUCUUUGAUUGGGGACGAAUAAUGACGGUACCCAAAAAACAAGCCACGGCUAACUACGUGCCAGCCGCCGCAGUAA